GAUGAACGCUGGCGGCGUGCCUAAUACAUGCAAGUCGAGCGAACGGACGAGAAGCUUGCUUCUCUGAUGUUAGCGGCGGACGGGUGAGUAACACGUGGAUAACCUACCUAUAAGACUGGGAUAACUUCGGGAAACCGGAGCUAAUACCGGAUAAUAUUUUGAACCGCAUGGUUCAAAAGUGAAAGACGGUCUUGCUGUCACUUAUAGAUGGAUCCGCGCUGCAUUAGCUAGUUGGUAAGGUAACGGCUUACCAAGGCAACGAUGCAUAGCCGACCUGAGAGGGUGGUCGGCCACACUGGAACUGAGACACGGUCCAGACUCCUACGGGAGGCAGCAGUAGGGAAUCUUCCGCAAAGGGCGAAAGACUGACGGAGCAACGCCGCGUGAGUGAUGAAGGUCUUCGGAUCGUAAAACUCUGUUAUUAGGGAAGAACAUAUGUGUAAGUAACUGUGCACAUCUUGACGGUACCUAAUCAGAAAGCCACGGCUAACUACGUG
Molecule: ribosomal RNA, 497 nt
Filed under: uncultured bacterium
Lineage: Bacteria
Description: partial 16S ribosomal RNA
Rfam family: Bacterial small subunit ribosomal RNA
Source: RNAcentral